UGGGGAAUAUCGGGCAAUGGCCGAAAGGCUGACCCAGCGACGCCGCGUGCGGGAGGAAGCCCUUCGGGGUGUAAACCGCUGUCAGAGGGGACGAAUGAGAGAGGAGCGAAUAGCCCUUCUCUGUGACGGUACCCUCAAAGGAAGCACCGGCUAACUCUGUGCCAGCAGCCGCGGUAAUACAGAGGGUGCAAGCGUUGUUCGGAAUCACUGGGCGUAAAGCGCGCGCAGGCGGAUGGUUGCGUCCGGAGUGAAAUUUCGCCGCUCAACGGCGAAGCUGCUUUGGAUACGGACCGUCUAGGGACCGGUAGAGGCUGGUAGAAUUGCAGGUGUAGCGGUGGAAUGCGUAGAGAUCUGCAAGAAUACCCGUGGCGAAGGCGGCCAGCUGGGCCGGAUCCGACGCUGAGGCGCGAAAGCGUGGGGAGCAAACAG
RNAcentral lists this ribosomal RNA (429 nucleotides) under uncultured bacterium. RNAcentral's name for it is "bacterial SSU rRNA". It matches the Rfam family "Bacterial small subunit ribosomal RNA", at positions 355 to 775 of the family's 1533-position model. The record is from RNAcentral.